Molecule: long non-coding RNA, 776 nt
Organism: Phyllostomus discolor (pale spear-nosed bat)
Lineage: Eukaryota; Metazoa; Chordata; Mammalia; Chiroptera; Phyllostomidae
Exons: 2
Source: RefSeq, a predicted model, not a curated record
UUCCAAAAUCAUCAUCUUCUUCAUGUGUUCUCUUCAAACUGCCUAAAAUUUUGGCAUGAACAUAACAUAUAAUGGGAGCUUAAAUGAGUUCACUUAUUAGAAUGUUAUACCUAAUAAAAGUUGCAUUUUUAAUGAAGUGUUGCCAUGUAUAGGUACUAUGAAAAUUCCAUGACUGAACUUCAGCAAACUUUGGUAAAUUCUCUUGUUAUGAAUCACCCAAGGACUUUUGUAUCUUCCUAACAAUAUAUUUCCCUCUUGAGAAUUAAGAUGGUCUUAGGUAUUAUAAAUGAUAAACAUAAUUUUUUAAAAUAGUUUGAUAACAGAAGUUUUAGAGAUAAUGGUACAUAAAUAAGUGGUUAUCAAAUUUAUAUUUUUUAGGUACCAUAAUCAUGACUUAUGACAUAAAAUUAAGACAUUAAUUUUAUGUCUAUGACUUUGGCAUGCAACAGAUAAAGAGAUUUUCUUUAAGCUACUCUUCACAUCAGAGUCUGCUAGUACACAAAUUUCCCACAUACAAUCAAAAUUGUCCCUAUAUGCACAAAAGGAAUUAACCCAGUGAAGGCUUUUGUACAGGAAAAACAUCACAAUCAGAACUAUCUUUAGUGAAAAUAAUUCUGGCCACAAUGUUCAGAACAGACCAAAUAAAAAGAGUUUGGACAGGAGGCCAAAAAGGGACUGAACUAAACUGAGACUAAGGGUACUACUAUAAAAGAGGGAAUGAACUUUAAAAGCACCGAGGAAACAGAACGUGGCAGAUUUGGAAAGAACCAGAUGGA